UGGAAAAUCAACAAAAUGUGCAACACUAAAAGAGUCUAGAUUUUCGCGGGGUUUUCUUGUCAACUUAGCAACAGCCGCACGCGAAGCGACGUCAUCACGUGACGCUCCACCCCGCCCUCACUCUCAGUCGGGCUGCGGUUUGCAGGAGCUCCAACUUCUGGCGGAGGCGGCAGCGGCGGGGCACCGCGAAGGAAGCGGGAGGCCUGCCGAGCCUGCCCCGCCCCACACGUGCCCCGCCCCACAUGAGCUGCCGCGCGCCGCUGCAAUGGCCCCACCCACCGACAAAUGCCGGGGAAGCGGAAAGAGCGGGAGCUGGCGUGGGACGGGAGAGGGAAGGCUGGGUGCGUUCCCCUCCUAGAAAGGGUGGGGAAGCAAAACCCUUUGCAGCUCCUGGUCUAGAAGGAUCCUUCGUGGUGGGACGCUGGGUCUGAGGCUCCGGGCACACACAGAGAACAAACCGAGGAGAAAAAAACGCACCCUACCAAUAAAUUAUGGUGAAAGGACCUUGCCUUAGAAAAGGAAAUGAAAUGCCCAGGCUUCAUCUGAGCCCUGGGAUGGUGGGAGAAGAGUUGUAGGAAACAAAUGGCUUGAGGGGCUUAACACAACCCAGUCUCCGCCCCCCCCCCCCCAACCCGGCUCAAAUCUUGACAACGUUCCUUCCAGUCAGCCUGUCCCCUUGCCACAGUCCAUGAAGUGACACCAUUCUUAAGGCUUCUCAAAAGCACCGUUAUUUCAGUUAAUUCCAGGUAAAAUGUACAUGGUUCCUUGGCAACAUUCUUCCUCCUCAUUUAAGAACUUGGGAGUUUGAAUCUGAACAUUUGCCUACUAUUUACAUUAAAUAAUUGCCUUGCCUUUAGCAAGCUGGACUACACUUAACAUAUGCCCUUUGGUGGAGUGGAGACGACUUGUCUGUCCUGUCCAAGCUUAAACACCAAGGGAAUGACUUUAAAUCUUGCUGGAUGGAACUGCCACUCACCGCUAGAAAUCGGGGAUCAACAGCGAACUCUGGAUGACCCUGUAACCACAUCUCCAGUUCAGCCCGGCGAGGGGCAUCCUCACCCACCAGCAAAGUACCAUCCACCUUAUUGAUGACAGGGAUCCGGGUCUCCAGGUCCACAUCAAGGUGAUUAGGCUCUUCCAUGCACUCCACCUCCAGCUGCAAACCCAGAAUCCACCCCCAUGAGCACAUACUCUUCUUUGGGGCAGGGAGGGAGGGGGAGUAGAGCCAAUGGUAGCCAUAAAAUAAUUCUAGUAUCUUCUAGUCCCUUAAUCCCAACUGCCUUCAUCAAUUAGUAGGAAUUAAAAAAAUCUAAUCAUCACAUUAAAGACUUUUUCUAUCACUCA
Neofelis nebulosa (Clouded leopard) is the source of this 1344-nucleotide long non-coding RNA. RefSeq lists it as uncharacterized. The record is from RefSeq and is a predicted model, not a curated record. The transcript is spliced from 2 exons. Lineage: Eukaryota; Metazoa; Chordata; Mammalia; Carnivora; Felidae.